UUGAAUAAACUUGGUUGGGCUGUUUGCUGGCUCUUCGGGGCAUGUGCACGCUCAUACCAUCUUUAAAAACCACCUGUGCACCUUGUGUAGAAGUGUUCGAUUCAACCUUAUGAAGCGCCCGCUCCGGCACAGACGUUAAUUCGUUUGAAUGGCGUUGAAUAAUUCUGGUUGACGAAGCCAGGUGUCCUUCGGGAUGCUCACAAGAUUGAGCAGCACUUAGAGCUCGUUUUCAAUGACCAAGUCCACUUCGGUGUUGAAUUAGUUGUUGGAGGCUUGACGCACUAUGUGUCUGCACUGUCAUAUUCCUGUACCUACCGUAACCUGCUUCUUUUGGGGAGCUUGCUACUAGGUGGCUUUGACGGACUUGGGUUAAACCAUGACCUGAACACUUCUUCACAUUUGUAGAUCCAUGAUACUUGAGAAUUCGUUUUCGUAUUAUGGGCCUAUGUAUUCAUACAUACACUUUGUCUCAGAAUGUUUGUAUACAGGCUUUUAUGCCUUUAAACAAUAAACAACUUUCAACAACGGAUCUCUUGGCUCUCGCAUCGAUGAAGAACGCAGCGAAAUGCGAUAACUAAUGUGAAUUGCAGAAUUCAGUGAAUCAUCGAAUCUUUGAACGCACCUUGCGCUCCUUGGUAUUCCGAGGAGCAUGCCUGUUUGAGUGUCAUGAAAUUCUCAACCUUUCUAGCUUUUUGUGAGCUUUAGUAAGGCUUGGAUUAUGGAGGCUGCUGGAUCUUUAUAGAUUCGGCUCCUCUGAAAUAUAUUAGCUCGACCUUUGCUGAUGUGUCUUUGGUAUGAUAAUUUAUCUAUACUAUAGAUAUUUGGCUCCUCCACUAGAGGAAGGUUGGCUUCUAAUCGUCUUUGGACAAUAUUUGACCAUUUUGACCUCAAAUCAGGUAGGACUACCCGCUGA
Molecule: ribosomal RNA, 913 nt
Filed under: Entoloma eugenei
Lineage: Eukaryota; Fungi; Basidiomycota; Agaricomycetes; Agaricales; Entolomataceae
Description: eukaryotic LSU rRNA
Rfam family: 5.8S ribosomal RNA (bases 514-667)
Source: RNAcentral